GAUGAACGCUGGCGGCGUGCCUAAUACAUGCAAGUCGAGCGAACAGACGAGGAGCUUGCUCCUCUGACGUUAGCGGCGGACGGGUGAGUAACACGUGGAUAACCUACCUAUAAGACUGGGAUAACUUCGGGAAACCGGCGCUAAUACCGGAUAAUAUAUUGAACCGCAUGGUUCAAUAGUGAAAGACGGUUUUGCUGUCACUUAUAGCUGGAUCCGCGCUGCAUUAGCUAGUUGGUAAGGUAACGGCUUACCACGGCAACGAUGCGUAGCCGACGUGAGAGGGUGAUCGGCCACACUGGAACUGAGACACGGUCCAGACUCCUACGGGAGGCAGCAGUAGGGAAUCGUCCGCAAUGGGCGAAAGCUUGGCGGAGCAACGCGGCGUGAGUGAUGAAGGUCUUCGGAUCGUAAAACUCUGUUAUUAGGGAAGAACAAAUGUGUAAGUAACUAUGCACGUCUUGACGGUACCUAAUCAGAAAGCCACGGCUAACUACGUG
This 497-nucleotide ribosomal RNA is filed under the name uncultured bacterium. Its description in RNAcentral is "partial 16S ribosomal RNA". It matches the Rfam family "Bacterial small subunit ribosomal RNA", at positions 28 to 507 of the family's 1533-position model. The record is from RNAcentral.